AUUGAACGCUGGCGGUAGGCCUAACACAUGCAAGUCGAACGGCAGCACAGUAAGAGCUUGCUCUUACGGGUGGCGAGUGGCGGACGGGUGAGGAAUACAUCGGACUCUACUUUUUCGUGGGGGAUAACGUAGGGAAACUUACGCUAAUACCGCAUACUACCUACGGGUGAAAGCAGGGGAUCUUCGGACCUUGCGCGAUUGAAUGAGCCGAUGGCGGAUUAGCUAGUUGGCGGGGUAACGGCCCACCAAGGCGACGAUCCGUAGCUGGUCUGAGAGGAUGAUCAGCCACACUGGAACUGAGACACGGUCCAGACUCCUACGGGAGGCAGCAGUGGGGAAUAUUGCACAAUGGGCGCAAGCCUGAUCCAGCCAUACCGCGUGGGUGAAGAAGGCCUUCGGGUUGUAAAGCCCUUUUGUUGGGAAAGAAAAGCAGCAGGUUAAUACCCCGCUGUUCUGACGGUACCCAAAGAAUAAGCACCGGCUAACUUCGUG
This 492-nucleotide ribosomal RNA is filed under the name uncultured bacterium. RNAcentral describes it as "partial 16S ribosomal RNA". It matches the Rfam family "Bacterial small subunit ribosomal RNA", at positions 30 to 507 of the family's 1533-position model. The record is from RNAcentral.